RNAcentral lists this ribosomal RNA (497 nucleotides) under uncultured bacterium. RNAcentral describes it as "partial 16S ribosomal RNA". It matches the Rfam family "Bacterial small subunit ribosomal RNA", at positions 28 to 507 of the family's 1533-position model. The record is from RNAcentral.
GAUGAACGCUGGCGGCGUGCCUAAUACAUGCAAGUCGAGCGAACAGACGAGGAGCUUGCUCCUCUGACGUUAGCGGCGGACGGGUGAGUAACACGUGGAUAACCUACCUAUAAGACUGGGAUAACUUCGGGAAACCGGAGCUAAUACCGGAUAAUAUAUUGAACCGCAUUGUUCAAUAGUGAAAGACGGUUUUGCUUUCACUUAUAGAUUGAUCCGCGCCGCAUUAGCUAGUUGGUAAGGUAACGGCUUACCAAGGCGACGAUGCGAAGCCGACCUGAGAGGGAGAUCGGCCACACUGGAACUGAGACACGGCCCAGACUCCGACGGGAGGCAGCAGUAGGGAAUCUUACGCAAUGGGCGAAAGCGUGACGGAGCAACGCCGCGUGAGUGAUGAAGGUCUUCGGAUCGUAAAACUCUGUUAUUAGGGAAGAACAAAUGUGUAAGUAACUAUGCACGUCUUGACGGUACCUAAUCAGAAAGCCACGGCUAACUACGUG